This is a long non-coding RNA of Columba livia (rock pigeon), 8088 nucleotides long. RefSeq lists it as uncharacterized. Lineage: Eukaryota; Metazoa; Chordata; Aves; Columbiformes; Columbidae. The record is from RefSeq and is a predicted model, not a curated record. The transcript has 4 exons.
AUAAGGAGGAAACAAAUUUGUGGAACAAAUUGCAUAUAAAACACUAAAUACAUUGUCUGUUUUUUCCCCUCAGCAUCUCUUCCUUGGGACUGUGAGUCAGCACAGCAAUCUGCCACGUGCCUGGAACUACAGAACGUGCUGACAAGUGCCCAUCUACUAAGGCAGAGCAUACACAAAUGGUGUUUACAGACAUCUUAUAAUUAGUACUCUAAAUCAUAACUAAAAAGUGGCUAAAGCGUGAAGCUUCGUGAGUCCAAAGUGGAACAUCAGCUUGCCAAUGUGGCAUCUGCUACGCGCCCGGUAAAUAGCCACACAGAACCUGUCAUCUGUGCAACUGUCACAUAUGCUUGUCUGAGGUCAGCCCUUUUCCCCUCCAUGUACAUUCGAGUCAAUGCAGAAGGAAGAGCAAGCUCCUAAAGGAGGCUGUCAGAAACUGAUGCCCAAUGAAGGAGGCAGCACCGAUUUCAGCAGAAGUUAGAAAGCCAGGAGGUGAGUAGACUAGUUAAAGAAGCAUUUAGCAACUUCCUCCACUGUUGUUUUAAUAAUAAUUUCAAAAAGGUUUCCAUUUUGGCUGGUCUUUGUUCUUAUAAUACUCAUUGCCUUUAAGAGAAAGCUUUACUGAGCACUAAGUCAUACUGCUAAGUGUUAAUUUACUUUUUUUCCCCCCUAUCAAUUAGCAUAACUUGAUCAUGAGCUAACAAAAGGCAGAAACAUACUCUGAUGUACGGUCAAACAGCACUUAGUAGUCCAAAUGUUUGCCAGAAAUUACUGAUACAAAAGGAGUAUUAGAUAACUGUUUUCAGCCCUCUUAAGGAAGAAGAGUCUACUAGAUAUCAGAAAAUGUUCAUUGUACAAAAAAAACCCCACAGUCUUCAGGAUUUCUUCUUAGUAUUUUAUAAAAUAUUCCUUUAGCAAUGGCUAAAAUCUUAAAAAUCUUCAUUAGGAGAAAUACAGUUCUUUCAUAAAUUCAGUAUUUUCCAUGUGCAUUCUACACAGAAGUUGUUUCCAAAACAAAAUAAACCACAACAUGGCAGAAAAUUAAAACAAGAGAAUCCACAGUAAGUACUCAGGAUUAGCUCUGCACAUCAGUAGCACAAGCAGCUGUGAGUGCAAAGUCAGUUUUGUGGGACAAUUAUGCAUGCUGGCUUUUUCUUUUUUUUUAAACAAAGGUUAACAUUUGAUCAGUUCCUGUACAUGUAGUAUUUAUGGAUGAAAAUAAAUAUAAUAUCCCAGUUCUAUUAACAUAAGAACUUAAAUUAUGCUCUUAGACAAUUUUAUGCAAAAGAUCAUCUGAGCCAUUCAUACCUUUUUAGCAGAUGAACUAAAAGCAGCAUUGGACACACUCACUGCUUCCCAAAUGCUUCCCAUUUUAAAGAGUAAAGAGACAGUUAUGCUGAUGAUAUUUGUAAGGUGCUCUGAGAUCUAUCAGAUAAUAUGGUGGUUACUGCUAUUUAUUUGCAGACCAUACAAACAUUCCACAAAUGAGUCACCUGCACGUAUACAAGAAAAAGUAAAACUAUUAAGGAUAAUACAAAUAACUUUACUUUGGAAAUGCAUCACGGCCAAUGUCAGCACAGAUUUGCCAUUUGAAAUCUACUGCUGUGCAAAGCAGGGAAAGAAAGGGAAGAAAGAGGCAUUAUACCUCCCGCCAUGAAAUGCUGCAGCUUGUCAGGCUCAAUAAAACAUUUCCUUAGUCCUAUCAGGGUGGGAAACUGUUUCUUUCUAAAUGGAAAGAAUGAUCAAUAUUCUGAGAUGAAUGCACUUUCUACCUAAUGAUGAAACAUGGUAACAUUUUUUUAAAUCCAGUUGAAUCAACCCUUUUACCUAACUGAAGCUGAGGAAUAAAAGAAACAACCAAAAUCUUACCCAGAAUAAACAUUACAAGCUUAAUUUUCUGCCUCCAACUUUAAAGCUUAUAUCAUUUCUUUGUUUAUUUACAUGCUAGAUAUUGAUCUACUCUCUGAUUUGUCAUUAUAAAUCUGUUAAACAUCUCUUUAAAUUACAGAAACUUCUAUAAAUGUUACAUAUGCAAAUAUCUGUAUAUAUGAUCAGAUAUUAAAAAAUGCAAAGACUUAGGGAGAUAAUGUCUUUGAGAAUUGUUCACAAACCGAACACAUUAUUAUCACUUAACACAUAAGAACAACACCCUUGCCUAACUGAAACAGCCCAAAUACCUCAUUUGUUUCAUAGUUUGAGACAUGAAAUCUGUGACACUAUUUUAUUGAAGUUUUCAAUGAAAUUUUUGAAUUUUGACUAUUGAUGCUUUUACAAAACACAAAACCGUUAUUUCCAAAAGGUACAGAUUAUGAUCAUGAAUACAUCAAUGAGAAGAGACUAGACAGAUUAGGAAUAAUGUUUUCAUGUACCUUGAGGCCCACAUUGUGUUAGUCUUACAUUCUUGCAUUAUUAAUAUCCUUUCUAAAAUUGACAUGCAAUCAAAAUUGAAAAGAAGUGCGUGCUUUUGAGCACACUAUCUUUGAAGGCAGUAGAAAUGAGCUUUCGGUCUGUGAGUUUAUUCCCACCUCAACACAGCUUACGCAGAACUCCCACUUUAUUUCACUUACGAGGCCUCAUCAUUCAUUUUUGGAUCUUAUGUGGAAAUUAUACCACCUCCUCUGAUCUCUGGGAUCUGGCUUCUGCUCAGAUGAUACGUGCAGGGAUUCUGCCCGUUAGAUAUUUCUAUUAAGAGAUUUGCAAUGAACUUGUUUUUUUCAACUCUUCGGAGGGUUCAGUAAUGUGUAUAGUCUGCCAAUGGAGUUCUGGUCAUAAACUGAAUGAAAAACACAUUUAAUGAGCCUCCUGAAACAUGUAUUAUUUGCUAAAAGACCAAAAAAUACUUUUCAGUAUGCUAAUAAUACUCAAUUAAGAAAAAAAAAGAUUGAGUGUUAAUACAAAACAAGCCCUCCUGCCUUCGCAAUUACCUUUCAAAUAUGAAUCUACUGGGUUUUAUUAAGUUUGCUUUCUAAAACACUGGCUGAAAUACUAAUACUCAAAUGUUAAAGGUUACAUUUAAGUCAGGCAUCUUGACUGCCUGCUGUUCCAAGGACUGAGAUUUCUGGCCAUACUCCUGAAAGGUAUUCAAUAUCUGAGUAUUUUUUUUUCUCUCUGGGCAUAAGGAGGUUGCACUAAGAAAAAGGAGGUUGUCACUGUUCAAAAUAGGAUGAUAUAUCCUUCCCUUGCUGUUGGUGUCUGAACAAACACAAUGCUUGUUUCAGUCAGUUAUUUAGACAUGUUAUGAAGGUGCAGAGAGUGUGAUUAAUGCAAACUAGACUCCAGAGACAAAGCAAACGGGCUAGUUAUGGUGUGUUGGAUUUUGACAGGAAGCACUUGGGCUCAGCUCUGAAAACCAGAUUCUGAAGACAUCUCCUCUCUUCUCCCUCUCACACAUUCCCACCUACAGGCAUCACUCACUUUGUUAAACCAAAGCACUCAAUUCCCCUUUACCUAUCCAAAUCCCCCAGGAAGUGCUAUGUGCUCUUUCUCAUUUAUGAAAUAAAUAUCCAGUCUUGAUACCUCAGUUCUUGCCUACCACCAGGAAAAUAAUACAAUUCCUGGGCAUUCUGCACACAGAAGGAAGCCCACCAGAGUAACCCCUGGGCUAAUGACCUCUCUGCCGCUGAAAAUGGUACCGCUGGCUCUUUGAAGCAAAUCCCUCUUCAAAGGCUUGCUAUCUCUGAAGGAAGUGUUGACACUGCUUGCAAGGCUUGCUUUAAACUUACUCAGCAAAGGAAGAGAGAGCUGACACAAGCAUUAAACACCCUUUGACAAUUUCCGCAUUUUGGGAAGGUGAUUUACUUGAAAGAUAUUUGCCGUGUUGAAGGUGCGCAGUGCAAAUCAGAGAUAAAAGAAUUCCUGCUCUUACACAACUCUCACAUAUCUCCAGAGAAUCACUUAGUGUUAUUCAGAUGGGAGCCCACUACUAUAGUAAUUUUGAAUAUCGCUGUAGUCUGAGAUGGAGGUAGCUAUAAUUGCAGAAAGGCACACAAGAAAUAGAUGCUUCUUCCCCAUACACAUUAAUGUUGUAUUUACUUCAGUUCCAGCAGGUAAUUAGCACAUAAUGCAGAGAAACACAAAUGCUGUUUUGUCUUUAUUGCAGAUAAAAGGUGGCAAUGAAUCAUAUUUGGCUACCUCAAUUUCUGUAAAGUGAAGAAUAGUUGUAUAUCCAUACUUCUGUAUUUAUAUUCACAGAUAAGUCAGGAAAUUAUACAGCCCAAAUAUUAUGCACAGUCUCUUUACUGAAAUGGUAACUGCUGGGCCUUUAAUUACAUAGCUGACACUUUGCAGAUGGGCUGAUUAUAUGUUAUAUACCAUACAGAGGUAAUUAGGUAUCAGCUGUAUUUGUGACACUGCCAGAGAAUGUUAUUUAGUCAGCAUGUAGCUUUCUUCAGUACUAAUCACAGUCAUGUUCUUGGUGCUUUUAUGGGAGGAAACAAGUCAGGACUGAGGGCCUGCAUCCCAGAAUAGUUCCGGGUGGAUGUUAGACACAUGAAAUAAAUAGACUGUGGGAAGAAAAUUUCAAUAUCAGUGUUACACAAACCCUAAAAUUUUGAUGGAUAUCGUUAAACUAAUUAUCUAAAAGUUCAAACAUGUAUUCACAGUUGAGCUGGCUGAAAUUUUCCCUGUGAAACACUGUUUUACUGCUUGGAAAAUGGCUGCUGGCUUACAGACAUCUUCCUAAAAUUAAAUUACUAUUGCUAGAAAUGGGACAAUUGGUUCUUCAGAAAACAAACAAGCAAAAAACCCCCAGAACUGAAAAAGUAAUAUUAUUAUAUUUGUCAAAGGGAGGCAAAAUGGUUCAGGUGUUUUCAAAAUUGUGUAUCACUUUUUUUUAAAGAAAAAAAGAGGAAAACAAAAUCUUAAUAUUGAGGACAGAAGUCCAAUAUGCUCCCCUAAAGUAUUUUAUAAUAAACCCAAACCAAUUCAUACGGAAUGCUUACAAAAGCUGAAAUUUCCUCUUAACAUUCCUAGAACCUUUGGCAGAGUCAGAAGGUAAUUUGGGAUGAAAACUCUGCCCCUCACAGCAGAAUUCUGAAAAUAAAACGUCCCUCAGAAUGAAACUACCCAUCUGACACUUCUUUUUUAUUGCUUCAAUACCAAAAAAGAACUAAGAGCCUAUUUAUCUGCAGUUCUGCUCCUCAUUUUACUGUGAUGCUACCAAUAGCAACUUCACAAUUUAAAGAAGGAAUGGCAGAUACUAACUUAUUCCAUUUUCCUCAGGUACCUCAGAAGUACAGUUUGCUUUCCCCAAAAUUAUAUAAUGUGAUUCAUCAGGAAAAAUUCAUUCUUUGGAAACAAAGCACAGGCUUUUGUAUGGCAGCAACAACCUCUCUCCUCUCCACUUUCUGCAGUAAAUUUCUCCUUCCUAUCUCUGGUCAUCCUUUUCCUCCCUUGUCUCCUCACUACAUCCCUCUGCAUCUUCCAGUAGUUUUUAAAUUUUCUUGUUUUCAUGGCAAGAACUAAAUCUCUAUCUGUAUUUCUCUCUUGUAUGAUUCAGAGAUCCUCAUAUUCAAGACAUCCUGCUGCUUCUCUGCUACUUUUCUCCCUUCCAAUACUCUCAGUCAGAACCAGGAGCCAGCGUUAUGCUUUGUGAAAGGUACUACUUCUCAUGGAAAGGAUUAGACUGAAUUUGCAUUGCUUCUUUUGUAAAGUAUUCACCAGUUCCUGAUGGACAACACCAUUUUAGUGAUUGCUGCUAUCUUCCAUUCAAAUGGCUGGACUCAUUUGUGCCCUAUUCAAAUAUAGAGUACUGAACCCAAAAAAUAAUUUACAAAACAAAUUAACCAUGCACAGAGAUAAAGAAAAAACAGGGCUAUGAAGUGGUCAUGCGCCAAUAAUAUUACAUAUUAAAAUGUAAUUGACCGUACAGAGGUAAGCCAAAUCAAUAGUAAAAGUAACUCUGGCCAGUAAUUUUCCUGUAUACUGUAAAGGGAUCAUCCAUCUUAUAUACCAAAAUACCCCAAAGAUUUCUGAUUUAGCCUAUCCAUUGCUAUCAAGACUGUAAACCCCAUAAACCAUGAUAAAUGUAGAUAACUUCAGAAAACAAGGUCCACAAGGUCCAAUUCCAGUCUUAGAUACAGAACUUCCAUCACUCCUUAUACACUACAGCUAUGAAAACUGGGAAUUUUGCAUGCAUGAGACACAUUUUCAGUUGUAUGAUCUUUUAUCUUCCUUCUAAACAAAGAAACUGAGACCAGAAUUAGGUUUAUGUAUGAACAGCGUGACAUAUAGGUAGACUGCAGUCAGUAACUGAAGAAUAUUGGAAAUACUAAUGAAUGAGAUCCAUGUAUCUCACAACUUACAUGUUUCUCGGAAUUUAUUUUACUUGCCUAAGGCUACUGAAUGCUCUGCACACUUUGUAUUAAUAUCCACUGUUGCACCACCAAGCCUGAGCUACUUUAUACCAUUGCACAGGAAAUACGUGGACUCAUGUUCGUUCACAUAAAAAUGCCUCCCUCUCCCUUUUACUCAGAUAAGUAGCAGACUUACAGAUAUUAAUGGGUGGCAAAUGUAACCAUUACUAGAAAAUAAGUCUUGCUUUAAAAAAAACAAACAAUCCGGUUUGCCCUUUAUGAAAAAAUAAUUUUAAACCCCAAUAAAUAUAUAUAAAUACAUAUUUUGAUAUGUAGCCCUGUAUUUCUUGUCUAUCUGUACCCCGGAAGUGUGUAGAGGAGAUCCGUAUCUCCUUUUGAGAUUACUUUUUUUCUCUCUAAUAUUUAAUCUUACUCUUAAAGUAUGACAAAGCAUCUUCUGAAUCGUAACCUUUAAGUACUAUUUUUUCACUUAACACUUUUUAUUCUCUCACAUUUUAUCUCUACAAGAAAAGAUUCUGAAGCUCCUGAAAGGGCUUGUGUAUCAAGUGUUUCCUCAUGGUGACUAAACAUGUCGGAGGGGUGUGAAGUCAGGAUGCACUUACCGUGAGAAACCACAUGUACACUAUAGCUGUCAUACCCAAAUGAACUUCUUAUUGGAGAAAAGGCAACGCUUUGGGGCAGCCAACUAUCAAAGUGGAUCUGUGAGAGCAUCCUGCAGCGUGGGGCUCUGCCCACCCACGCGUCCCUUGGGGAACAGGAAUGGUUCAUUUUUGGGUAGCAUUCCCAUUGCUGUUUAGGUCAAGAGGACAGCAUAUCUGACUGUACAAACUAAUAAUGCACUUCAAAUUCAGAGUACAGCAUAUUGAAAAAAAUUACAGAAAAGCAACAUUUGCAUUUCUUUUGUCUACUAAAAAUGACUUGUGUUCCGAUUUUGAUGUUAUGGCUAUAAGUUUAAGAUGCCAUUAAUGCAUGAAGUUAUGCAGGUUUCAUCCUCUGUUACUCUAGACAAUCUUCCUUCCCAAUGCAUGGAAAUACAUAUGAUACAUCAAUAGAUUGUGCGGAUAAUUCAAUGUAGUAAAGCUUUCAUUUAGUUGUCUGAGCUGAUAAUUAAAUAACUGAAAUUUGGAAAUUAUAACAAUAAAAUCAAACUUUAAAAAAAUUGCUAUGAUCUCUUUUAUUUCAAAAUAUAGCUGUGAAAAAAACUUGUAUGCCUUCAGGUCAGAUACAGAUACUCUGCAACUGACUACUCAGGACUCAUCUGUCCUAUUAAACUACUAUUUCAGCUUACAAUAAAUAAUUAUUGUAAGAUGCCCUUAAACUAUAAGUACCCAAAUAUUUCCACUGCUAGCAGAGGUAUGAGGAAAUUGGAAACUAAUAGACAGGAUUUUUGAAGACAUGAAAUUCAAGGGUGAUGUUUUUCACAGAGUCGUAUCAAUUGCAGUCGGACAGAUACACUCUUUUUCAUACCAAAGCUUAAAAGCAGCACUUCUGCAACUUGGAACUCAGAUGUUUCUAGCAGAACCCAAUAUACUUAGUGUGCAAAUUUCACAAAAUAUUGCAUUGUUGAUAUUUUCUUUCAAAUUUUCAAGUGAAUGUUACUUCAUUUAAAGCAAACAAAAUUUAGGAAUUAAAGCAGGAAUAAGGUACUGGAGCCUACAUAAUUUUAAAGGAUAAAGGGUUUUUUGCUGGAUAACUCUAACAUACCUUAGUCCAUGUAUAUAUCAGGAACUGAUUCAGUGGCUUGAAGGACAGCAAAAGGUUUUCAAAUGUGGAAAAG